GAAUAUGUUUGUGCAUCUUCAGUGGAAGCCCGAGAUUGCUGCAGGGAUGCUGGCAGGAGAAUAAACAACCCCCUGCUGAAUUCCUACAUCACAGACCACAGUGGAAACAAACAUUAAGCAAACAAGCAAAACUUCCCGACAAACCACAAAGAUGCCACGAUCUUUUAACUUCCUCUGAGGCCAUCUUGGACUUCAUUAAAGUCACCUGUGUGGGGAAGUAUUUUUCCCCUGCUGUUUUCUUCCAGCAGUCUUGUCCCCAAGGCACCAGAUUCCCUGUACAAGUUCCCACAGAAGUUUAUUAAAUCUGUAACUCAAAAUGUAGCUCACAGAGGGGGGAAAAAGGCAGUGGGGGGUUUCUAGCAGUGUGUCUCAAAAACUAAAGGAUGAUUGAAGCUGAAAUCUCUCACUUUCUUUUACUUUGGGGAGUAUGCUUCAGAGAUCUUAAUGAAAUCAAAUUGCCAUUACGGACUCUCCUGAGACUUCCUCUGUGUUUUUCAAAGAUACUGGAAUCUCCAUCCCUGACUCCAUCCUUUCCUCCAAGAGGCCUGCAGUCUACAUUUUUUUUGCUAUUAAAUUCUAACACCUUCCUCACCUGACCCACAACUGAGUGGAACCAAGGAACCCUGGGGGAAAUUUCUUUCUCCUUCUCCUCUUGAGACUAUUAGAUCUAUCUCUUUGCGGAUGUUCUUUUUCCAGAAGCUUGAAUAGGAACUGUGUAAAUGGUGGUUGGAGAGAGAAUAUGUUGUAUAUUUUAAAAAUUUAAAAUAAUGUAUAUGCCACCUUUCUCCUAAAGGAUUCAAGACGGCCUACAGUAUUAGAAGAAACAAAGUUAAAAGCGAAAAUAAUGAACUACUACAAUAUCAAAAAAGAAUUACACUGAUAUCACAUUAAAGCAUAAAUAGGAGGAAGAUUAAGGCCAGCCUCCCUGAAGAAAAAGGGGUGAAGAGAUGCUCAGGAGAUUGUUGGGUAUCUUUCUAAAGCAAGAGGAUACAAAUGAUAAAGCUGAGGCAGAGAAUUUCUUCUGUUGUUUUAUCAAAUCAAUAUCCAUUUGCCUCGAUGCACAGUUUCUCCGGUACCACAACAAGACAGAUGACUGUAAAGGAUUACAAAACACACUAAAAGACCCCUUUCCUCAAUUCCUGAGCCACAAUCACAGGCCGCAAGGUCCCUGGUGCUUUGCCUUCUCAGAGGCUGUU
This 1196-nucleotide long non-coding RNA is filed under the name Pogona vitticeps (central bearded dragon). Its description in RNAcentral is "lncRNA (ENSPVIG00000019142.1)". The record is from RNAcentral. Lineage: Eukaryota; Metazoa; Chordata; Lepidosauria; Squamata; Agamidae.